Non-coding RNA from Rattus norvegicus (Norway rat), 1625 nucleotides. NCBI's taxonomy places the organism in Eukaryota, Metazoa, Chordata, Mammalia, Rodentia, Muridae. The record is from RefSeq and is a predicted model, not a curated record.
GAAGGCAGGAGGAUUUCUAAGGUAGAAUAGUUUGUAAAAUUAGGAUGCUAGAUUCUGCGCCAGCGACUGUUACCUGUUGAUUCUAAACUUAGAUUGUGUGGUGUUUUCCUUCACACGGUGACUCAACUGGGUUCCAGAGAAAGAUACCCCUGGUCUCCUGACCCAGACUGCGGCUGCUGCUCUGACACCAGUGGAUCUGUGACUCUGUAAUCCCUUCAUUGACGCUGUUAGGAAUGACAAAAAGAAACAAGCAGACAAAACCUGAUCCUUUAAAUACUUCAAAAGGAAAAUUCUCUUUAAAAAAAACCCUUUCUGGAAUUCAAGUUUCCUUCAAAUCAUUCAUGGCAAAGGACUAAUUCCACAGACAGUUUGAUCAGUCCAGCCUAUUUAAUCAGGAAUAAGACCCAGGGCAGGGGAUGGCCGACUAUGGCCGUGUGUUGCUUUCACAGAUGCUUUAGCCUGCUUUGAGGGGCCUGUGUGAUUCCACCUGUGGCAUCUGCCUAUCUGUAGGACAUUGGCUCUUACUUCUCCACCACACACUCAUGGAUCCUGCAUAUUUGUAGCAACUGUUAGGAUCUUUGAUAUCUAAACUGCCAUCUUCCACACUUCAUCAUCCAGCAUGUCCAGAAGCAGCCCCCACCUCCAUCCUCACCCUCAGUGAAGGUCAGUUAGAACCCGCUGGGAAAACUUGAGGAGAAACAGAGACCGUUCCCUCUUGAGACAGAUUCUAGCAGCUAUGGUUCCCACCAAAGGAAAAAGAGCAACAGGUACACUGAGGUGAAACCUGCUGGAUUUUAAUAGAAGUCACAAAGGACAUUCAAGCUCUGUGAGCACAAGGAACCAGGCUAAAUUCAUGGGUCAUGGUUGUCACUGGUGCUUGCAUAGUCCUUGGUUUUUGUUUUCUUUUUUUUUUUUUUUUUUUUUUUGGUUCUUUUUUUCGGAGCUGGGGACCGAACCCAGGGCCUUGCGCUUCCUAGGCAAGCGCUCUACCACUGAGCUAAAUCCCCAGCCCCGGUUUUUGUUUUCUUAAGAAGUCAAGUGGGACCCUUGGGCAGUAGCAGGAAGUCAAGCCUGACCUUGGGCAGUAGCAGCAAAUCAAGCAGGACCCUUGGGCUGUAGCAGACACUCCCAUCGCCCACAUGAGUACUAGAGGGUAGAGUACACCCUGUAAGCUGUCUGUCUCUCUCAGGUGGAUUUUGGAACAUUUUUUAUUGCCUGGGUUUCACCAUCUUGACUGAUGGCUUCUAGCUCUAUUAUAAAGACUGUCGUUUUAUCCUGAUCAUUGUGUUGCAGUUGGUUGGUGUGUCCCAACCAGUCUUAAAUGCUUCUUUGCCAUCAUAGUCCUAUCAGCGUUUCAACAACAACUGUUGUCACAACAGGAGGAGACGGGAAGAUGAGUACUGGAUCAACACAGGCUUCAGGAAGGACUCUAUUCCCGCCCUAUUAAUUGCUAGAUCUAAGCUUUUUGUUUUUGUUUGUUUUGUUUUUGUUUGGGAGACAAAGGCAGAAGAACUGUGACAUCCAGACCAGCCUGGGGCUACAUAGAAAGAUAUUAUAUUAAAACAACAUCAACAAAACCCACAGAAGCAUAACUUUAAAAAAUCAAUAAAGUAGAAAAAUAUGUA